Molecule: ribosomal RNA, 254 nt
Filed under: uncultured bacterium
Lineage: Bacteria
Description: partial 16S ribosomal RNA
Rfam family: Bacterial small subunit ribosomal RNA
Source: RNAcentral
UACGUAGGACCCAAGCGUUAUCCGGAUUUACUGGGUGUAAAGAGUUGCGUAGGUGGCUCGUAAAGUGAAUAGUGAAAGCUGGUCGCUCAACGAUCAAAACAUUAUUCAAACUCACGAGCUCGAGAGUGAUAGAGGUUACUAGAAUUUCUUGUGUAGGAGUGAAAUCCGUAGAUAUAAGAAGGAAUACCAAUGGCGUAGGCAGGUAACUAGAUCAUUUCUGACACUAAGGCACGAAAGCGUGGGGAGCGAACCGG